Long non-coding RNA from Pristis pectinata (smalltooth sawfish), 1048 nucleotides. RefSeq lists it as uncharacterized. NCBI's taxonomy places the organism in Eukaryota, Metazoa, Chordata, Chondrichthyes, Rhinopristiformes, Pristidae. The transcript is spliced from 3 exons. The record is from RefSeq and is a predicted model, not a curated record.
GAUUCAAGUGAAAUUUUCUACCAGUAGGCACCAAAGGAAGUCAGACAGAUGUAUUUAAAUAUGAUUGAGAGCAUUUACCUUCUGUAUUAGUAACUGAAUAUAUCCAUACAUUCAUCAAAAUAAUGAAUAUUAAAUACAUCAUUGUUCUUCUAACCAUAUUGAUAACAAUGUCAUCAGUAUGCGAAGGACUCCAGCAGUUUGGACGUUGGGCACAAAUACAGCCUACGGAAGAUGCCAGUCAAUCAGUAAACCGUGUCAUUCGAUGUUCGGGAUGCAAACAGUCGGCUACAAGAGAAAAUAAACGCACCCGACCUAAACUCUCUCGCAAAAGUCCACUGCCUUUCUAAAAUCAGGCACACCAGUGCACCCAGUACUUCUUUUCUGCGAAGAUCAUGUCCUGUGCCAUCUACGAGCAGAGCAAGCAAGGACAAACAUCUGUUUACUAUCUCUUUGAAGAAUACAAUCCAUAUUUCUGUUGAGAUGCAGAAGAUAUUAGUUUCAGCUAUUCCCUAAUACUGCCGCAGAAGGACCCCAAAUUUUCCAGAUGUGAAUCCGCCACUUGAGUGAUUAUAAUCAAAAGGUCAACAGAAAAUGUAACAUGCUUUGAGACUUGCUGUUCACAACAAACAACCACCAUUUUUUUUGUACAUACACUCCAGAGGAAACCAAUUUUAUAUGUAAGCAAGAGAUCUUGUAUCAGCUACUUCUUGCAACAUACCCAGUAGAUUAUGAAUAAUUAAAAUGGUUUAGAGACAGCUUUAAAAAUAGUAAUCACCUGAUAUUUAAAAAUACCAAUAAUAGAGUUCAAGAAAAUGUCAUUAUAAGUGACUGCAUAAGUGAAAUACUGUCAGCUGCAGAAAAUCUACUUCAAUUAUUUAUGGUCCAUUAAAAACAGGACAAAUGGUAGCAAAUCAGAGUUUAAAAUAUUAUCCAAGAUUUAGAUCUUAUUAUAUAUUAACAUUGUACAUUUCUACUAUUUUCUAUAAUGGGAUUUAAAAAGAUGUAAAUUCUUGCUCCAUAUGCCCUGUAGCUGCUGUUUAACACAACA